GACGAACGCUGGCGGCGUGCUUAACACAUGCAAGUCGAACGGAAAGGCCCUGCUUGCCGGGUACUCGAGUGGCGAACAGGUGAGUAACACGUGGGUGAUCUGCCCUGCACUUCGGGAUAAGCCUGGGAAACUGGGUCUAAUACCGGAUAGGAGCCAUUUUUAGUGUGAUGGUUGGAAAGUUUUUUCGGUGUAGGAUGAGCUCGCGGCCUAUCAGCUUGUUGGUGGGGUAAUGGCCUACCAAGGCGGCGACGGGUAGCCGGCCUGAGAGGGUGGACGGCCACAUUGGGACUGAGAUACGGCCCAGACGCCUACGGGAGGCAGCAGGGGGGAAUAUUGCACAAUGGGCGCAAGCCUGAUGCAGCGACGCCGCGUGGGGGAGGACGGCCUUCGGGUUGUAAACUCCUUUCGCUAGGGACGAAGCUUUUUGUGACGGUACCUAGAUAAGAAGCACCGGCUAACUACGUG
RNAcentral lists this ribosomal RNA (465 nucleotides) under uncultured bacterium. Its description in RNAcentral is "partial 16S ribosomal RNA". It matches the Rfam family "Bacterial small subunit ribosomal RNA", at positions 28 to 507 of the family's 1533-position model. The record is from RNAcentral.